CCAUUACCAAUCUUCUUGGGCUGC
Molecule: non-coding RNA, 24 nt
Filed under: Arabidopsis thaliana (thale cress)
Lineage: Eukaryota; Viridiplantae; Streptophyta; Magnoliopsida; Brassicales; Brassicaceae
Source: RNAcentral